CCUGGCGCGAAUGAAUGAGCCGAUUCCCGAUUAGCUAGUUGGCGGGGUAAGAGCCCACCAAGGCGACGAUCGGUAGCUGGUCUGAGAGGAUGAUCAGCCACACUGGAAAUGAGACACGGUCCAGACUCCUACGGGAGGCAGCAGUGGGGAAUAUUGGACAAUGGGCGCAAGCCUGAUCCAGCCAUACCGCGUGGGUGAAG
This 200-nucleotide ribosomal RNA is filed under the name Stenotrophomonas sp. RNAcentral describes it as "partial 16S ribosomal RNA". It matches the Rfam family "Bacterial small subunit ribosomal RNA", at positions 211 to 410 of the family's 1533-position model. Lineage: Bacteria; Pseudomonadati; Pseudomonadota; Gammaproteobacteria; Lysobacterales; Lysobacteraceae. The record is from RNAcentral.